Molecule: ribosomal RNA, 346 nt
Filed under: uncultured bacterium
Lineage: Bacteria
Description: partial 16S ribosomal RNA
Rfam family: Bacterial small subunit ribosomal RNA
Source: RNAcentral
CCUACGGGUGGCAGCAGUGAGGAAUAUUGGUCAAUGGGCGCGAGCCUGAACCAGCCAAGUAGCGUGAAGGAUGACUGCCCUACGGGUUGUAAACUUCUUUUAUAAAGGAAUAAAGUGAGGCACGUGUGCCCUUUUGUAUGGACUUUAUGAAUAAGGAUCGGCUAACUCCGUGCCAGCAGCCGCGGUAAUACGGAGGAUCCGAGCGUUAUCCGGAUUUAUUGGGGUUAAAGGGAGCGUAGAUGGGUUGUUAAGUCAGUUGUGACAGUUUGCGGCUCAACCGUAAAAUUGCAAUUGAUACUUGCAGUCUUGAUUACAGUUGCGGUAGGCGGUAUUCGUGGUGUCGCGG